AGUGAACGCUGGCGGUAGGCCUAACACAUGCAAGUCGAACGGCAGCACAGUAAGAGCUUGCUCUUACGGGUGGCGAGUGGCGGACGGGUGAGGAAUACAUCGGAAUCUACUUUUUCGUGGGGGAUAACGUAGGGAAACUUACGCUAAUACCGCAUACGACCUACGGGUGAAAGCAGGGGAUCUUCGGACCUUGCGCGAUUGAAUGAGCCGAUGUCGGAUUAGCUAGUUGGCGGGGUAAAGGCCCACCAAGGCGACGAUCCGUAGCUGGUCUGAGAGGAUGAUCAGCCACACUGGAACUGAGACACGGUCCAGACUCCUACGGGAGGCAGCAGUGGGGAAUAUUGGACAAUGGGCGCAAGCCUGAUCCAGCCAUACCGCGUGGGCGAAGAAGGCCUUCGGGUUGUAAAGCCCCUUUGUUGGGAAAGAAAAGCAGCAGGUUAAUACCCCGCUGUUCUGACGGUACCCAAAGAAUAAGCACCGGCUAACUUCGUG
This 492-nucleotide ribosomal RNA is filed under the name uncultured bacterium. RNAcentral describes it as "partial 16S ribosomal RNA". It matches the Rfam family "Bacterial small subunit ribosomal RNA", at positions 29 to 507 of the family's 1533-position model. The record is from RNAcentral.